AUGUCACAACAAGAUUUUCAGCCCUGGUGCUGGUCUCCACUGCAACUUUCCUCUCCUUACUUGCUUGAGCACAGUGCUGAAGACCAGACAGUGGCUCUCCAGGCAUAUAUGUAUCUGGGUGAUGUUGUGCAGCAAGUGACAGUGUCUAGGAAACAUCCCCAGAACAUCACAAAAAUAUCUGCGCUCCUGAUUUGGGGAGAGGAUGUGCUGCAUGGCCCAGAGGAAGCUCACGAGCAUCUCUCACCUGAGGAACCAGCCACCAAAUCUGUUGACAGUUUACAUGGUACACAGGAGGCAACUCUGCCCUGGGCAGGCCAGGAAAGAUGCUGGGCUCUACAGCUUCCUUUUCUGUUGACUGGCAAGAUGGUGCUUUGUCAGUUCUUUGGGCUCCAUGAGCACGAGCUUGUUCAGACACGACUCCUGGGGACAGAACUGCUGGCUGGAUUGCUGGACACACCAACAGCAAAGGGAAAUGUUCUCCUCCUUAAUCCAUACACGAGGCGGUAA
Molecule: long non-coding RNA, 507 nt
Filed under: Anas zonorhyncha (Eastern spot-billed duck)
Lineage: Eukaryota; Metazoa; Chordata; Aves; Anseriformes; Anatidae
Description: lncRNA (ENSAZOG00000018200.1)
Source: RNAcentral